This 491-nucleotide ribosomal RNA is filed under the name uncultured bacterium. RNAcentral describes it as "partial 16S ribosomal RNA". It matches the Rfam family "Bacterial small subunit ribosomal RNA", at positions 29 to 507 of the family's 1533-position model. The record is from RNAcentral.
AGUGAACGCUGGCGGUAGGCCUAACACAUGCAAGUCGAACGGCAGCACAGUAAGAGCUUGCUCUUACGGGUGGCGAGUGGCGGACGGGUGAGGAAUACAUCGGAAUCUACUUUUUCGUGGGGGAUAACGUAGGGAAACUUACGCUAAUACCGCAUACGACCUACGGGUGAAAGCAGGGGAUCUUCGGACCUUGCGCGAUUGAAUGAGCCGAUGUCGGAUUAGCUAGUUGGCGGGGUAAAGCCCACCAAGGCGACGAUCCGUAGCUGGUCUGAGAGGAUGAUCAGCCACACUGGAACUGAGACACGGUCCAGACUCCUACGGGAGGCAGCAGUGGGGAAUAUUGGACAAUGGGCGCAAGCCUGAUCCAGCCAUACCGCGUGGGUGAAGAAGGCCUUCGGGUUGUAAAGCCCUUUUGUUGGGAAAGAAAAGCAGCAGGUUAAUACCCCGCUGUUCUGACGGUACCCAAAGAAUAAGCACCGGCUAACUUCGUG